This 1435-nucleotide ribosomal RNA is filed under the name Boana pulchella (Montevideo treefrog). Its description in RNAcentral is "partial 16S ribosomal RNA". It matches the Rfam family "Bacterial large subunit ribosomal RNA", at positions 259 to 2597 of the family's 2925-position model. The record is from RNAcentral. Lineage: Eukaryota; Metazoa; Chordata; Amphibia; Anura; Hylidae.
GCCAAAAAUCUAGCCCUCCCCCUCCCCCCCCCCCCAAAAACACUAAUUCACUUUUUACAAAACAAACCAUUUUCACAAUUAAGUAUAGGAGAUAAAAAAAUUUACUGGCGCUAUAAAACUAGUACCGCAAGGGAAAGCUGAAAUAUAAAUGAAAUAAACGCUCAAGCAUAAAAAAGUAAAGAUUUCUCCCUGUACCUUUUGCAUCAUGGUUUAACUAGUCCUUACCAAGCAGAAAGAAUUUAAGUUUGACUUCCCGAAACUAAGUGAGCUACUCCAAGGCAGCCUCAUGGGCCAACCCGUCUCUGUUGCAAAAGAGUGGGAAGACCUUAGAGUAGGGGUGACAGACCAAACGAACUUAGUGAUAGCUGGUUACUUGAUAAAAGAAUUUUAGUUCUACCUAAAGCCCAAAUAAAGUUUUAUAAACUAACAUUCAUGCUUUAGAGUUAUUCAAAUAAGGUACAGCCUAUUUGAAUAAGGAAACAACCUAGACUAAUGGGUAAGACAUCUACAGUGUAUUAAAGUGGGCCUAAAAGCAGCCACCUUCAAUAAUAGCGUCAAAGCUUACCUAUACAAGUACAUUCAAUUUCAUAUCCUAAUCCAAACCCUUUAUUUUCAUCAAGUAAUUCUAUAUAUUUAUAGAACAUAAAAUGUUAAAACUAGUAACAAGAAGUAAACCCUUCUCUUAAAUGCAAGUGUAGGCCAGGAAGGAUAAACCACUGUCAAUUAACACCAAUGAUUUUCAAUUAACAACACCACAAGAGAACCCUAAUAAAACAAAUGUUAAACUAACACAAGAGCAUUUCAAGAAAGAUUUAAAGAAAAAGAAGGAACUCGGCAAACACCAACCCCGCCUGUUUACCAAAAACAUCGCCUCUUGCCAAAUAUAAGAGGUCCAGCCUGCCCAGUGACCUAGUUCAACGGCCGCGGUAUCCUAACCGUGCGAAGGUAGCGUAAUCACUUGUUCUUUAAAUGGGGACUAGUAUGAAUGGCAUCACGAGGGUUACACUGUCUCCUUUUUUUGAUCAGUGAAACUAAUCUUCCCGUGAAGAAGCGGGAAUAUCUUUAUAAGACGAGAAGACCCUAUGGAGCUUUAAACAAAUUAACACCUGCUGCCCGAGAUUGUUCUUUCAGAAAUAUAAAACAUAGCAUAGCAUGAUGAUUAAUAGUUUUUGAUUGGGGUGAUCACGGAGUAAAAAACAACCUCCAUGCCGAAAGGGGUUUUACCCUGAGCAAAAAACCACAACUUUAAGCACUAAAAAAUUAACGUUUAUUGACCCAGUAUAAUGAUCAACGAACCAAGUUACCCUAGGGAUAACAGCGCAAUCCACUUCAAGAGCUCCUAUCGACAAGUGGGUUUACGACCUCGAUGUUGGAUCAGGGUAUCCCAGUGGUGCAGCCGCUACUAACGGUUCGUUUGUUCAACGAUUAAAACCCU